This 468-nucleotide ribosomal RNA is filed under the name uncultured bacterium. RNAcentral's name for it is "partial 16S ribosomal RNA". It matches the Rfam family "Bacterial small subunit ribosomal RNA", at positions 28 to 507 of the family's 1533-position model. The record is from RNAcentral.
GACGAACGCUGGCGGCGUACUUAACACAUGCAAGUCGAACGGAAAGGCCCUGCUUUUGUGAGGUGCUCGAGUGGCGAACGGGUGAGUAACACGUGAGUAACCUGCCCUUGAUUUUGGGAUAACUUCAGGAAACUGGGGCUAAUACCGGAUAGGAGCUCCUGCUGCAUGGUGGGGGUUGGAAAGUUUCGGCGGUUGGGGAUGGACUCGCGGCUUAUCAGCUUGUUGGUGGGGUAGUGGCUUACCAAGGCUUUGACGGGUAGCCGGCCUGAGAGGGUGACCGGCCACAUUGGGACUGAGAUACGGCCCAGACUCCUACGGGAGGCAGCAGUGGGGAAUAUUGCACAAUGGGCGGAAGCCUGAUGCAGCAACGCCGCGUGCGGGAUGACGGCCUUCGGGUUGUAAACCGCUUUCGCCUGUGACGAAGCGUGAGUGACGGUAAUGGGUAAAGAAGCACCGGCUAACUACGUG